UACGGGGGGUGCGAGCGUUGUCCGGAAUCACUGGGCGUAAAGGGCGCGUAGGUGGUUUGAUAAGGGUGUGGUGAAAGCCCGGGGCUCAACCCCGGGUCUGCCGUGCCGACUGUCAAACUCGAGGGCUGUAGAGGCAGACGGAAUUCCGGGUGUAGCGGUAAUGCGUAGAGAUCCGGAGGAAGACCGGUGGCGAAGGCGGUCUGCUGGGCAGUUUCUGACACUGAGGCGCGACAGCGUGGGGAGCAAACAGG
This 251-nucleotide ribosomal RNA is filed under the name uncultured bacterium. Its description in RNAcentral is "partial 16S ribosomal RNA". It matches the Rfam family "Bacterial small subunit ribosomal RNA", at positions 524 to 776 of the family's 1533-position model. The record is from RNAcentral.